RNAcentral lists this RNase P RNA (465 nucleotides) under Anaerolineales bacterium. RNAcentral's name for it is "RNase P RNA component class A". It matches the Rfam family "Bacterial RNase P class A". Rfam says of the family: Ribonuclease P (RNase P) is a ubiquitous endoribonuclease, found in archaea, bacteria and eukarya as well as chloroplasts and mitochondria. Its best characterised activity is the generation of mature 5'-ends of tRNAs by cleaving the 5'-leader elements of precursor-tRNAs. Cellular RNase Ps are ribonucleoproteins. Lineage: Bacteria; Bacillati; Chloroflexota; Anaerolineae; Anaerolineales. The record is from RNAcentral.
UGGGCCGGCCGGGCGAUUGCAGGCACCGAAAGAUGCUUGAGGAAAGUCCGCGCUCCAUAGAGCACGAAGCCGGGUAACACCCGGGCGGGGAAACCCGCGGAUAGGGCCACAGAGAACAACCACCAGAUCCUAGUGCAGCGAGCAGGAUUAUAGCUUUGAGCUGGAGUCAGGUUCGCGGCAUCUGUCUGGUAAGGGUGAAAAGGUGGUGUAAGAGACCACCGGCGCAGGCAGCAAUGUCGGCGGCCAGGCAACCCCCGUCGGGAGCAAGGCCAAGCAGGGGCGAAACUGAUUCGUCGGUGAGGGACUGCUCGUCCCUUUUGAGCCUCGGGUAGGUCGCAAGAGCCCUGCGGUGACGCACGGGCCCAGAUAGAUGGUCGCCCAGGUGAUGACUUUCGGGAAGAAGGACAUCGUCCGUAAACCGAAGAUCGAACCGGACAGAACGCGGCUUACAGGCUGACCCAUGAU